GGGGCGUGCCUAUACAUGCAGUCGAGCGGACAGAUGGGAGCUUGCUCCCUGAUGUUAGCGGCGGACGGGUGAGUAACACGUGGGUAACCUGCCUGUAAGACUGGGAUAACUCCGGGAAACCGGGGCUAAUACCGGAUGCUUGUUUGAACCGCAUGGUUCAGACAUAAAAGGUGGCUUCGGCUACCACUUACAGAUGGACCCGCGGCGCAUUAGCUAGUUGGUGAGGUAACGGCUCACCAAGGCGACGAUGCGUAGCCGACCUGAGAGGGUGAUCGGCCACACUGGGACUGAGACACGGCCCAGACUCCUACGGGAGGCAGCAGUAGGGAAUCUUCCGCAAUGGACGAAAGUCUGACGGAGCAACGCCGCGUGAGUGAUGAAGGUUUUCGGAUCGUAAAGCUCUGUUGUUAGGGAAGAACAAGUGCCGUUCAAAUAGGGCGGCACCUUGACGGUACCUAACCAGAAAGCCACGGCUAACUACGUGCCAGCAGCCGCGGUAAUACGUAGGUGGCAAGCGUUGUCCGGAAUUAUUGGGCGUAAAGGGCUCGCAGGCGGUUUCUUAAGUCUGAUGUGAAAGCCCCCGGCUCAACCGGGGAGGGUCAUUGGAAACUGGGGAACUUGAGUGCAGAAGAGGAGAGUGGAAUUCCACGUGUAGCGGUGAAAUGCGUAGAGAUGUGGAGGAACACCAGUGGCGAAGGCGACUCUCUGGUCUGUAACUGACGCUGAGGAGCGAAAGCGUGGGGAGCGAACAGGAUUAGAUACCCUGGUAGUCCACGCCGUAAACGAUGAGUGCUAAGUGUUAAGGGGGUUUCCGCCCCCUUAGUGCUGCAGCUAACGCAUUAAGCACUCCGCCCGGGGGAGUACGGGUGCCAAGACUGAAAACUCAAAAGGAAUUGGACGGGGGGCCCCGCACAAACCCGGUGGAACCAUGUGGGUUUAAAUU
RNAcentral lists this ribosomal RNA (943 nucleotides) under Bacillus amyloliquefaciens. Its description in RNAcentral is "bacterial SSU rRNA". It matches the Rfam family "Bacterial small subunit ribosomal RNA", at positions 39 to 952 of the family's 1533-position model. The record is from RNAcentral. Lineage: Bacteria; Bacillati; Bacillota; Bacilli; Caryophanales; Bacillaceae.